GUGACUGCGUACCUUUUGUAUAAUGGGUCAGCGACUUAUAUUCUGUAGCAAGGUUAACCGAAUAGGGGAGCCGAAGGGAAACCGAGUCUUAACUGGGCGUUAAGUUGCAGGGUAUAGACCCGAAACCCGGUGAUCUAGCCAUGGGCAGGUUGAAGGUUGGGUAACACUAACUGGAGGACCGAACCGACUAAUGUUGAAAAAUUAGCGGAUGACUUGUGGCUGGGGGUGAAAGGCCAAUCAAACCGGGAGAUAGCUGGUUCUCCCCGAAAGCUAUUUAGGUAGCGCCUCGUGAAUUCAUCUCCGGGGGUAGAGCACUGUUUCGGCAAGGGGGUCAUCCCGACUUACCAACCCGAUGCAAACUGCGAAUACCGGAGAAUGUUAUCACGGGAGACACACGGCGGGUGCUAACGUCCGUCGUGAAGAGGGAAACAACCCAGACCGCCAGCUAAGGUCCCAAAGUCAUGGUUAAGUGGGAAACGAUGUGGGAAGGCCCAGACAGCCAGGAUGUUGGCUUAGAAGCAGCCAUCAUUUAAAGAAAGCGUAAUAGCUCACUGGUCGAGUCGGCCUGCGCGGAAGAUGUAACGGGGCUAAACCAUGCACCGAAGCUGCGGCAGCGACGCUUAUGCGUUGUUGGGUAGGGGAGCGUUCUGUAAGCCUGUGAAGGUGUGCUGUGAGGCAUGCUGGAGGUAUCAGAAGUGCGAAUGCUGACAUAAGUAACGAUAAAGCGGGUGAAAAGCCCGCUCGCCGGAAGACCAAGGGUUCCUGUCCAACGUUAAUCGGGGCAGGGUGAGUCGACCCCUAAGGCGAGGCCGAAAGGCGUAGUCGAUGGGAAACAGGUUAAUAUUCCUGUACUUGGUGUUACUGCGAAGGGGGGACGGAGAAGGCUAUGUUGGCCGGGCGACGGUUGUCCCGGUUUAAGCGUGUAGGCUGGUUUUCCAGGCAAAUCCGGAAAAUCAAGGCUGAGGCGUGAUGACGAGGCACUACGGUGCUGAAGCAACAAAUGCCCUGCUUCCAGGAAAAGCCUCUAAGCAUCAGGUAACAUCAAAUCGUACCCCAAACCGACACAGGUGGUCAGGUAGAGAAUACCAAGGCGCUUGAGAGAACUCGGGUGAAGGAACUAGGCAAAAUGGUGCCGUAACUUCGGGAGAAGGCACGCUGAUAUGUAGGUGAAGUCCCUCGCGGAUGGAGUUGAAAUCAGUCGAAGAUACCAGCUGGCUGCAACUGUUUAUUAAAAACACAGCACUGUGCAAACACGAAAGUGGACGUAUACGGUGUGACGCCUGCCCGGUGCCGGAAGGUUAAUUGAUGGGGUCAGCGCAAGCGAAGCUCUUGAUCGAAGCCCCGGUAAACGGCGGCCGUAACUAUAACGGUCCUAAGGUAGCGAAAUUCCUUGUCGGGUAAGUUCCGACCUGCACGAAUGGCGUAAUGAUGGCCAGGCUGUCUCCACCCGAGACUCAGUGAAAUUGAACUCGCUGUGAAGAUGCAGUGUACCCGCGGCAAGACGGAAAGACCCCGUGAACCUUUACUAUAGCUUGACACUGAACAUUGAGCCUUGAUGUGUAGGAUAGGUGGGAGGCUU
RNAcentral lists this ribosomal RNA (1579 nucleotides) under Escherichia coli. Its description in RNAcentral is "partial 23S ribosomal RNA". It matches the Rfam family "Bacterial large subunit ribosomal RNA", at positions 593 to 2157 of the family's 2925-position model. Lineage: Bacteria; Pseudomonadati; Pseudomonadota; Gammaproteobacteria; Enterobacterales; Enterobacteriaceae. The record is from RNAcentral.